Molecule: transfer RNA, 82 nt
Filed under: Oryctolagus cuniculus (rabbit)
Lineage: Eukaryota; Metazoa; Chordata; Mammalia; Lagomorpha; Leporidae
Rfam family: tRNA
About the family: Transfer RNA (tRNA) molecules are approximately 80 nucleotides in length. Their secondary structure includes four short double-helical elements and three loops (D, anti-codon, and T loops).
Source: Rfam by way of RNAcentral
GGUGCUGUGGCGCAGUGGUUAGAGCCCCGGCCUGCAGUGCUGGCAUCCCAUAUGGGCGCUGGUUCAAGUCCUGGCUGCUCCA